RNAcentral lists this ribosomal RNA (560 nucleotides) under uncultured bacterium. RNAcentral describes it as "bacterial SSU rRNA". It matches the Rfam family "Bacterial small subunit ribosomal RNA", at positions 81 to 676 of the family's 1533-position model. The record is from RNAcentral.
GGGCGAUAACGCAAGUGGCGCACGGGUGCGUAACGCGUGGAAACCUACCAUUCCGUACGGAAUAACGAUUGGAAACGAUCGCUAAUACCGUAUACGCCCUGCGGGGGAAAGGUCCGCCGCGGAAUGAGGGGUCCGCGUCCGAUUAGCUUGUUGGUGAGGUAAAGGCUCACCAAGGCGAUGAUCGGUAGCUGGUCUGAGAGGAUGAUCAGCCACACUGGGACUGAGACACGGCCCAGACUCCUACGGGAGGCAGCAGUGGGGAAUAUUGGACAAUGGGGGCAACCCUGAUCCAGCAAUGCCGCGUGUGUGAUGAAGGCCCUAGGGUUGUAAAGCACUUUCAAUGGUGAAGAUGAUGACGGUAGCCAUAGAAGAAGCCCCGGCUAACUUCGUGCCAGCAGCCGCGGUAAUACGAAGGGGGCGAGCGUUGUUCGGAAUUACUGGGCGUAAAGGGCGCGCAGGCGGUCAAUCCAGUCAGGUGUGAAAGCCCCGGGCUUAACCUGGGAAUUGCACUUGAUACUGAUUGACUAGAANACGGAAGAGGGCAGUGGAAUUCCCAGUGU